UUUCCUCCCCAACUAGGGUUGCCGCCACCGCCCCAUCGCUCCUGGCGCUGCCCACCGGAGUGGGAUGACCGUGGGAGGAGCAGCCACGCAAGGUGGAGCCCUCGUCACGAUGAAGCGGCGGGAAGAGGAGCCCCAUCGGGACGAGUUUUUCCCCGUCGCCCAGGACGGUCCUUCUUCCUUGAAGACGCCCAGGGCUGACGGAUGUUGCUUGUCGUCAGCCUAGGGCCUGGUCGGCCGGAGCAGUCGGAGAGGAGUGGGAGGCUCGCCGUCGCCAUCGUCGGCAGGAGCGCCAGACCCAUCUUCCUUGCAUCAGCCGGGCUGUUCGCGCGGCGGGGGUGGAGGUCGUGCGAGGCGGUUGUUCGCCGAUCUGUUCAUGCAAGCCCUUGGUUGCCUGCGGUGCCUUAUUGGCGACGUCUUCUCUGGUGCUACCGGCAAGCAAUCGCUGCCAAGCCUCUAGCGCUCCGUGGCAGCCAUCCCUACAUCUCACUGCUUAAUGCAUGCUAUCAGACACGCGGGAUGGAGUUGAAACUGUUCGUCUUUGCGUAGCAGCAUCAGAAUUACAAUUUAAAUGUAUUUCAGGUCACAAAAUGCUUUGGAUAGCGUAUGUACUUCCGUCAGUUGCAUUCCGUGUCUUUUGUCUCGUCUAUUUUAUUUGGAUUAGGAGAUGGAAAAUUAUGGUAACCAUUCUCGGUGUCGUCGCUAUCAUCCUCACAUCAAGAUGUCUCCAACAAUGCCGCCAUACAUGUCCCUCACGUUGUCAUUGUCAUCCUCGUGUUGAUAGGCAGCUCGAAUGCUUGGUUAGAGGAUCCCAGGUGCAAGGCAAAGCGCCACCUCUCUCUCACUGUGCAUCGUCUCUAGACGCACCACCGUCGACAUCAGCUACCGCCAAUACAUAUGAUCCAUGUAUCAUCUUUAGUAUCUCUCAUGCUCAGGAGAGGCAGAGGUCACUCAGCUAGCUCGUGCAGUACCAAGGGCGAUGGAGAUAUGCAAGCACAUUAGCUGAUGAGAGGAUGUACUAAAUGUUAUGCAGAAACCAAAUCAAUAACUUUUCUUGCUCAUCCCUAUACCAUGUUCUCAGUCCUGUAUCUUCUGAUCAGUUAAGUCCUUUUGGCUUGUGAUCUUUUCUCCAUUCAGUCAGUCUCAAAUCUCAUCUUGGCAUAUACAUAAGAAAGAAGAAGCCAAGAGCAUGUGAAAUGUAUAUGUACAUGUCUGCCACAUAAUUCUAGCUUUUAUUUGCUCCGUGAAAAUAGUCGCACGGGAGGCGUAAUGAGGCGUUUAAGCAAGACAAGUGCGCCAAAAACACGCACUCAGGACUCAGGAGGCCCGCCAUUGGCGGGCCCCAGCCACUAGUGCUCUAUAGACAAGGA
Molecule: long non-coding RNA, 1367 nt
Organism: Triticum aestivum (bread wheat)
Lineage: Eukaryota; Viridiplantae; Streptophyta; Magnoliopsida; Poales; Poaceae
Exons: 5
Source: RefSeq, a predicted model, not a curated record